GAUAGAGUCAGCUAAUGAAGCUCUCGGGCCCAUACCCCGAAAAUGACGGUUAGACCCCCUCCUCUAUCA
This 69-nucleotide transfer RNA is filed under the name Rhodeus pseudosericeus. RNAcentral describes it as "tRNA-Met". Lineage: Eukaryota; Metazoa; Chordata; Actinopteri; Cypriniformes; Acheilognathidae. The record is from RNAcentral.